Molecule: long non-coding RNA, 229 nt
Filed under: Elaeis guineensis (African oil palm)
Lineage: Eukaryota; Viridiplantae; Streptophyta; Magnoliopsida; Arecales; Arecaceae
Description: long non-coding RNA (EGUI_LNC027747)
Source: RNAcentral
UAUCUUAUUUGAGCUAAUUUUUUCUUGGAUCAAAACUCUUUAAACUAUUUUCUACUUUAAGGAGUCGACUCUUAGAUCUGGAGAGUCGACUCAUGAUUUUAAGAAGAAAAAUAGUUCUGUGAGGAGUCAACCCCAAUUUUACUAGAGGCCGACCCCUCAUUAAGAGUUGACUCAAGAUUAAGACGAGUCGACCCCUUUGUUGGGAUAGAUUUUUAAACCUGAGGGGCCC